CCAGACGGCCGGAUGGCUGCCUCUCGCACCGGGGAAACCCGCGAGGGGAGGAAAGUCCGGGCUCCACGGAGACACGGUGCCGGUUAACGGCCGGCGGGGGCGACCCCAGGGAAAGUGCCACAGAAAGCAAACCACCAAAGGGGCUCCGGUCCCAAGGUAAGGGUGAAAGGGUGCGGUAAGAGCGCACCGCGCCCCCGGCAACGGGGGUGGCAGGGUAAACCCCACCGGGAGCAAGACCAAAUAGGGGCGGCACGCCGGAGAUUCUCCGGCAGGCGGGUUUCCGCGCCGCCGCCCGGGUAGGUCGCGCGAGGCGUUCGGUAACGGGCGUCCCAGAUGAAUGGCCAUCUCUUGGCGCCGAUUUUUUCGGUGGCAGGGACAGAACCCGGCUUACAGG
RNAcentral lists this RNase P RNA (394 nucleotides) under Rhodospirillales bacterium. Its description in RNAcentral is "partial RNase P RNA component class A". It matches the Rfam family "Bacterial RNase P class A". From Rfam's summary of the family: Ribonuclease P (RNase P) is a ubiquitous endoribonuclease, found in archaea, bacteria and eukarya as well as chloroplasts and mitochondria. Lineage: Bacteria; Pseudomonadati; Pseudomonadota; Alphaproteobacteria; Rhodospirillales. The record is from RNAcentral.